Molecule: ribosomal RNA, 1122 nt
Filed under: Triticum aestivum (bread wheat)
Lineage: Eukaryota; Viridiplantae; Streptophyta; Magnoliopsida; Poales; Poaceae
Description: partial small subunit ribosomal RNA
Source: RNAcentral
AUGGUGGUGCCUUCCACGACGCCGGCGCGGCAAGAGACGGCGACCAUGCUGCUUCCACCGCCGUCCGCCGGCGGCGGCGCCAUACCGACGGUUGACAUGUCCGCGCCCCGCGGCCGCGGCGCGCUGUCGCGGCAGGUGGCACGUGCGUGCGCGGAGCAGGGCUUCUUCCGUGCCGUCAACCACGGCGUGCCUCCGGCGGGGCCCCCGGCACGGCUGGACGCCGCCACCUCGGCGUUCUUCGCGCUCGCGGCACAUGACAAGCAGCGCGCCGGCCCGCCGAACCCGCUCGGCUACGGCUGCCGCAGCAUCGGCUUCAACGGCGACGUGGGCGAGCUCGAGUACCUCCUCCUCCACGCCAACCCCGCCGCCGUCGCGCACAGGGCCAGCUCCAUCGACACCAACGACCCCUCACGCUUCAGUUCUGUUGUGAAUGAGUAUGUGGAAGCAGUGAAGCAGCUUGCAUGUGACAUCCUGGACCUGUUGGGAGAGGGGCUAGGGCUGGAGGACCCCAGGCUCUUCAGCAAGCUCAUCACAGAAACUGACAGUGACUCCCUCUUGAGGAUCAACCACUACCCUCCAUCAUGCACCGUUCACAAGCUUGACCAUGAUGACCAAUGCAAGCUCAAGGGGGUUGCCAGGACCAAGGCUGGUAGCGGUGGGAAUCCAGCGGCGGGUGGCCGGAUCGGGUUCGGUGAGCACUCCGACCCACAGCUACUUAGCUUGCUCCGAGCAAACGACGUUGAUGGCUUGCAGGUGCUUCUGCCGGACAUCAACGGCAAGGACACGUGGAUUCAGGUGCCAGCAGACUCGUCGGCCUAUUUCAUCAAUGUUGGUGAUCUCCUUCAGGCUCUGACAAAUGGGAGGUUAGUAAGCGUCCGGCACAGAGUAAUUGCAAGUGCCUGCAGGCCAAGGCUGUCUACCAUCUACUUUGCAGCCCCACCACUGCAUGCACGAAUCUCGGCGCUCCCAGAGAUGGUCACAGCCGGCUCACCACCCCGGUACCGGUCAUUCACCUGGGCCGAGUACAAGACAGCAAUGUACUCGCUCCGCCUAAGCCACAGCCGCCUGGACCUCUUCCAUGUUGAUGAUGACGAAAGCGGCAAUGGCAGCAAAGGAAAAUAA